This 83-nucleotide transfer RNA is filed under the name Siphoviridae sp. ctL0q1. Its description in RNAcentral is "tRNA-Tyr". It matches the Rfam family "tRNA". Rfam says of the family: Transfer RNA (tRNA) molecules are approximately 80 nucleotides in length. Their secondary structure includes four short double-helical elements and three loops (D, anti-codon, and T loops). Further hydrogen bonds mediate the characteristic L-shaped molecular structure. tRNAs have two regions of fundamental functional importance: the anti-codon, which is responsible for specific mRNA codon recognition, and the 3' end, to which the tRNAs corresponding amino acid is attached (by aminoacyl-tRNA synthetases). tRNAs cope with the degeneracy of the genetic code in two manners: having more than one tRNA (with a specific anti-codon) for a particular amino acid; and 'wobble' base-pairing, i.e. permitting non-standard base-pairing at the 3rd anti-codon position. The record is from RNAcentral. Lineage: Duplodnaviria; Heunggongvirae; Uroviricota; Caudoviricetes.
GGGCAGGUAUGCCUAGCGGCGAGGGCAAGGGACUGUAAAUCCCCCACAAAGAAACAUCAGAGGUUCGAUUCCUCUCCUGCCCA